GGGAGAUGACAGGACCCCCCGCUUAAGUGCAUAUCUCACUCAGGUCCCCACAUCCAGGGAGCUUCUGAGCUGCCAGGGAAGACAUUUCUUCUUUUGAGAAGGAGCUCACAGUCUAAAUAAAUACUAGCAAACAAUACUUUUGUAUAUAGUAGGCAUAUUAUAAGUGGAGCUUUAUUGAAAUGAUAAAUAGGAAAUUAUAUAAUUACAUGUUUAAAAAUUUUUCUGGCUGGGCACGGUGGCUCACACCUGUAAUCCCAGCACUUUGGGAGGCUGAGGCAGGCGGAUCACCUGAGGUCAGGAGUUCGAGACCAGCCUGGCCAACAUGGUGAAACCCCGUCUCUACUAAAAAUACAAAAUUAGCUGGGCAUCCCAGUGGCGCAUGCAUGUAAUCCCAGCUACUUGGGAGGCUGAGGCAAGAGAAUCU
Molecule: long non-coding RNA, 424 nt
Filed under: Homo sapiens (human)
Lineage: Eukaryota; Metazoa; Chordata; Mammalia; Primates; Hominidae
Description: non-protein coding lnc-GHDC-1:1
Source: RNAcentral